GCCCCGUUCGUCUAGAGGCCUAGGACGCCGGCCUCUCACGCCGGUAACACGGGUUCGAAUCCCGUACGGGGUAC
This 74-nucleotide transfer RNA is filed under the name Corynebacterium accolens. Its description in RNAcentral is "tRNA-Glu". It matches the Rfam family "tRNA". Rfam says of the family: Transfer RNA (tRNA) molecules are approximately 80 nucleotides in length. RNAcentral also lists the same sequence under 3 other names. Lineage: Bacteria; Bacillati; Actinomycetota; Actinomycetes; Mycobacteriales; Corynebacteriaceae. The record is from RNAcentral.